GUGGUCUUGUUCCUCCAGAACCCUCUGCCGUGCGGCGCGGUUCCUCUUUCGUUCAGAAGGCAAGAGCGAUUUUGGAUCCGGGGCCUCCAGCUCCCGCCGCCCUCUCCCGCCGAAUCCCGGAGCUCCGUUCGUCGAGGAGAUGGGGAACAGUGCAUCUGCGACAACCGUCGCCCCAACUGCAGAAGAAAAAACCGGGCAAGCUCCAGCGCCUGACACGAAGCCGAAGAAGAAGAUAUGCUGCGCCUGCCCCGACACAAAGAGGCUGAGGGACGAGUGCAUCGUGGAGCAUGGCGAGGAUGCGUGCGGGAAGUGGAUCGAAGCCCAUCGCCUAUGCUUGAGAGCCGAAGGGUUCAACGUCUGAUACGUUUAAGAGCGUCGCACUUCUGAACGACGAACAAUGUCGGUUAACAGUUUGAUCGCUGGGCAUUCCAGUUUGCGGGGAGGGGUGUUCUCCCCCCUAAUAGGCAUUCAGCGCCACAGAUGAUAUAUGGAAUUUUGUUAUAAAUGGUACCGUGUUGGGCUUUCUCCAAACGGUGUCAUUGUUUGGAGACAUUCUUGUUUCUUCUUGUCUGCUGGUUGGGCUGGAUUUUUCACUGAACUAGAUGAUACCCCGCACGUUGUUGCGGAAACAUUUGCAAUACAUUUCGAUGAUAUGUGAUUUCUAUGGAACGUGAAUAGUGAUACUAUGAAAACUAAAAUUGCAAAUCCA
Triticum dicoccoides is the source of this 709-nucleotide long non-coding RNA. RefSeq lists it as uncharacterized. NCBI's taxonomy places the organism in Eukaryota, Viridiplantae, Streptophyta, Magnoliopsida, Poales, Poaceae. The transcript has 2 exons. The record is from RefSeq and is a predicted model, not a curated record.